GACGAACGCUGGCGGCGUGCCUAAUACAUGCAAGUAGAACGCUGAAGGAGGAGCUUGCUUCUCCGGAUGAGUUGCGAACGGGUGAGUAACGCGUAGGUAACCUGCCUGGUAGCGGGGGAUAACUAUUGGAAACGAUAGCUAAUACCGCAUAAGAGCAGAUGUCGCAUGACAUUUGCUUAAAAGGUGCAACUGCACCACUACCAGAUGGACCUGCGUUGUAUUAGCUAGUUGGUGAGGUAACGGCUCACCAAGGCAACGAUACAUAGCCGACCUGAGAGGGUGAUCGGCCACACUGGGACUGAGACACGGCCCAGACUCCUACGGGAGGCAGCAGUAGGGAAUCUUCGGCAAUGGACGGAAGUCUGACCGAGCAACGCCGCGUGAGUGAAGAAGGUUUUCGGAUCGUAAAGCUCUGUUGUAAGAGAAGAACGAGUGUGAGAGUGGAAAGUUCACACUGUGACGGUAUCUUACCAGAAAGGGACGGCUAACUACGUG
Molecule: ribosomal RNA, 495 nt
Filed under: uncultured bacterium
Lineage: Bacteria
Description: partial 16S ribosomal RNA
Rfam family: Bacterial small subunit ribosomal RNA
Source: RNAcentral